AGGGCAGUCCUACUCAUAUGAGGA
RNAcentral lists this non-coding RNA (24 nucleotides) under Arabidopsis thaliana (thale cress). The record is from RNAcentral. Lineage: Eukaryota; Viridiplantae; Streptophyta; Magnoliopsida; Brassicales; Brassicaceae.